This 81-nucleotide transfer RNA is filed under the name Brucella inopinata. RNAcentral describes it as "tRNA-Arg". Lineage: Bacteria; Pseudomonadati; Pseudomonadota; Alphaproteobacteria; Hyphomicrobiales; Brucellaceae. The record is from RNAcentral.
GAUCCGGUCGGCGGCAAAGGCCUGCGCCAUCUCCUGAAUGGCGCAUUGAUCCUCGUUCAGUUCAAACUGGUUCUGAUCGGC